Molecule: non-coding RNA, 660 nt
Organism: Capra hircus (goat)
Lineage: Eukaryota; Metazoa; Chordata; Mammalia; Artiodactyla; Bovidae
Source: the annotation of a RefSeq genome assembly
CCUUACAAUAUCCUAUUUCCAUGCCCUGUUCCCCUGGCACUCAAAGCUGAGACCGUCUUCAUCCUGCUUCUCCCCGCCAUGGGCUCCGUGCUCCUCUGCUGUGUGGUCUUCUGUCUCCUGGGAACAGGCUCCAUGGAUACCGGUGUUACCCAGACCCCAAGAAAUAGGAUCGCAGUCACAGGAAAGAGCACUGUACUGGAAUGUUCUCAGACUAAGGGCCAUGAGUCUAUGUACUGGUAUCGACAGGACCCUGGACGGGGGCUCCGGCUGGUCUACUCCUCCUACGAUAUCAAUGGUAUUAACAAAGGAGAUGUCUCUGCUGGGUACAAUGUCUCUCGUAAGGAGAAGGCAAAAUUCUCCCUCUACCUAGAGCCUGCUACCCCCAACCAGAAGGCCAUUUACUUCUGUGCCAGCAGUAUUUGCACAGUGCUUCCUGGCCACCUGCUGUCUACACAGAAAGGCCGCUGCGUUUGCUUGGAAGGGCACACAGGCUUCCUCGAUGUGGGGCCCUCGUCACCUGUGACCGAGGAGAACUACAUCGCCCUUCUCACCGCCCCACCAGCCUCCUCCUGUAUCUGCUUUUCUUCCAUCUUGGACAUUGCCACCAGCCUGAUUGGGCCUGUCAUUCUUUACUUGGUGCACAGAGUCCUCUAUAAAUGA